GUGCUUGCUUUGGCAGUGCAUAGACUAAAACUGGAAUGAUACAGAGAAGAUUAGCAUGGCCCCUGUAGAAGGAUGACAUGCAAAUUUGUGGAGUAUUCCACAUUUUU
Molecule: small nuclear RNA, 107 nt
Organism: Bos indicus x Bos taurus (hybrid cattle)
Lineage: Eukaryota; Metazoa; Chordata; Mammalia; Artiodactyla; Bovidae
Source: Ensembl